This 408-nucleotide ribosomal RNA is filed under the name uncultured bacterium. RNAcentral's name for it is "partial 16S ribosomal RNA". It matches the Rfam family "Bacterial small subunit ribosomal RNA", at positions 28 to 526 of the family's 1533-position model. The record is from RNAcentral.
GACGAACGCUGGCGGCGUGCUUAACACCUGCAAGUCGAUCGGAGUGUCGAACGGGUGUGUAACACGUGGGUGACCCGCCCUGCACUUCGGGAUAAGCCUGGGAAACUGGGUCUAAUACCGGAUAGUGUGGGAUGGGCCCGCGGCCUAUCAGCUUGUUGGUGGGGUAAUGGCCUACCAAGGCGGCGACGGGUCGCCGGCCUGAGAGGGUGGACGGCCACAGUGGGACUGAGAGACGGCCCAGACGCCUACGGGAGGCAGCAGUGGGGAAUAUUGCACAAUGGGCGGAAGCAUGAUGCAGCGACGCCGCGUGGGGGAUGACGGCCUUCGGGUUGUAAACUCCAUUCACCAUCGACGCGGUAGAUGGAGAAGAAGCACCGGCUAACUGCGGGCCAGCAGCCGCGGUAAUAC